UUUUUUUUCCAAUCCAUAAUUUUUAUUUUAUAUUUGCGGAUUUUUUUUUCCGUUUGAUUUUCUCGGGAAAAUCUUCUCUGGCUUUUGCUGAGAUCGAAGUGUGUGAGCACGAAAUCUGGAUGUGACUGUUGGUGAAUCGGAGAUGAGGAACGUGAACAAUACCGUCGAGACGGUGAACGCUGCCGCAACCGCCAUCGUCUCCGCCGAGUCCCGCGUCCAGCCGACGGCGGGUGAGAAGAGAAGAUGGAGAAGCUGCUUGAGCCUUUACUCUUGUUUUGGAUCCCAAAAGAACAAUAAACGGAUUGGUCAUGCUGUGCUCGUCCCAGAGCCGGUCGCACCUGGAGUUCCGGUGGCUACAAUCCAGAACUCGACAGCUUCAACUCCAAUUGCUCUUCCCUUUAUAGCCCCUCCUUCAUCUCCUGUGUCAUUUCUGCAAUCUGAUCCUCCGUCGGUGACUCAAUCCCCCGCCGGUCUGCUUUCCCUCACCGUCAAUACAUAUUCCCCAUGUGAACCUUCAUCGGCAUUUGCUACGGGUCCUUAUGCACAUGAAACUCAACCAGUCACUCCUCCCAUAUUCUCUGCCUUCACAACAGAACCCUCCACUGCACCUUUCACCCCUCCUCCCGAAUCAGUUCACAUGACUACCCCUUCUUCCCCUGAAGUGCCCUUUGCUCAGUUGCUGACAUCAUCGCUAGAGCGAGCUCGGAGGAAUAGCGGCGGGAUGAAUCAAAAGUUCUCGUCGUCACACUAUGAGUUUAAAUCUCAUCAUGUGUACCCGGGGAGCCCUGGCGGUAAUCUAAUAUCCCCUGGCUCUGUGGUUUCAAACUCUGGUACAUCUUCUCCUUACCCAAGAAAGUAUCCCAUCGUCAAUUUCCGUGUGGAUGUACCUCCAAAGUUCUUUGGUUCUGGAUCUAUUACUCCUUUUGGGCAAGGUUCAAGGUUGGGUUCUGGUGCUCUGACCCCUGACGGGGGAGGCUUCUCAAGGUUGGGGUCUGGUGCCGUGACACCGAGUGCUGUUGGGAUUUCAAGACUUGGUUCUGGAACUAUGACACCCGAUGGCGUAUGGCCUGCACCUCACGAAGGCACUUUCAUGGAGAAUCAGAUCUCUGAGGUGGCAUCACUAGCCAAUUCAGAUCACGGGUCGGGGUCUAGACAUGAGGAAAUAGCAGUAGAUCACAGAGUUUCGUUCGAGCUGACUGGCGAAGAUGUAGCUCGUUGUCUAGCGAGCAAGUUAAGCAGGUCUGGGUUAGAUAGUAACCAGUUCGAGACAGAGGAAACAGUUCUAGACAGACGAACCAGCAGCCAUGGGGAAACAUGUGGAAAUAUGUCUGAGAAAGGACAUGGAGAAACAGAAAGUGAACAGGCUCAAAGGCUACGAUCGUUCUCGGUAGGAUCGAGCAAAGAAUUCAACUUCGACAACAGAAAAGAAGAGAUCCCGGAGAAGGCAGCAGUUAGGUCAGAGUGGUGGGCGAACGAGAAGGUCUCAGGGAAAGGCGAAAGCCCCGGAAACAACUGGAGUUUUUUCCCGGGUUUACACUCUGGUGUAAGCUAAGCUUGAGAAAUUCUCCGAUCAUAAAGUCACAAAAACGGCUAACAAACCAGGAAGUUCACCUGGGCCUUCGGCCCAACCUACAUCUCCCUGAGCCCGGGAGCAGCCUUUGAACACACAGCCUUUGGCUAUGCCUCUCCCUCCCCGCAUGCCUGAAUUCGAACCCCUGACCUGGAGGAGGAACACCCUCACUUCCAGUUCAGGUACCACUCGACCACAGACAUGUGGGUAGAAAACCCUUUUCUUCUGUGUCGAUAUAUUCAUUCAUGUGAUAGAAUAGAGCCCGUGUUCUGAAAUCAUCUUUUCCAUCCGACCGCAUGAAUGCGUCAAUGUUAUUCAAACUUUGUUGUGGUACUUUAGACCGGAUCUGGGUAUCCGAAAACAGGGCAGGGUGAAGUUGAGACUAGGCGUGGACGGCGAUCGGGCUUGAAUUCGAAUUCUGUGAUCAUAAUUCUUGGAUAUCUGAGCCGGUUUCCAUCGUCUAAAUCAUCAUCGUGACCUCGCCUGAGUCAUCUCGUUUCGUCCACACCCUCGGAUACAUCUCAAGAUGAUUUGAACCAUUCGAAUUUAAAAUUAGAUAACCCUACAAUUUUUAGAUAUCAACGCUAAAAUACACACCAUGGAAAAGAAACCAGCCAUAGCAUCUUUAUCAAAAAUAUCUUUACUUUGUCGAGAUGAUAUCCAUGUAUCAUUUUUCGUAUAACCAAUGUGAUCAUUUUAAACAGUAGUCACACCGAUAAAAUUGCAUGAUGAUCAAACUAUUCAUAUUGAUUGUAUCGUUAAAAUUAUAUGACCGGUGUAACCAUCAUUUACUAAUCAAACUAGUUAAAAAAAAAUAGGUUAAAAAAUUACUCUAAAUUACAUUUAACAAAUAAGAGUA
Tarenaya hassleriana is the source of this 2429-nucleotide RNA transcript. RefSeq lists it as uncharacterized. The transcript is spliced from 3 exons. NCBI's taxonomy places the organism in Eukaryota, Viridiplantae, Streptophyta, Magnoliopsida, Brassicales, Cleomaceae. The record is from RefSeq and is a predicted model, not a curated record.